This is a long non-coding RNA of Papaver somniferum (opium poppy), 735 nucleotides long. RefSeq lists it as uncharacterized. The record is from RefSeq and is a predicted model, not a curated record. Lineage: Eukaryota; Viridiplantae; Streptophyta; Magnoliopsida; Ranunculales; Papaveraceae. The transcript has 2 exons.
CAUUUUCUUUUCCUCUUUCUCUUUCUUCUUCUUCUGUUUUCUUCUUUUCUUUUCUUUUCUUCUUCUCGUCCUUCGCCUGUUGGUGAAUUAGGAAUCUGAAUUAGAGAUUCUGUGAUCAAGAGAAGCAGGGAACAAUCGAGUGUUAGUUGAUGGUGGUGGUUGAUUAUUAUGGUGAACUCAAAUCAGCAGACAAGAGUGCGCGUAAAAUAAGGUAUUGGUAAGGUACAUAUCGUUUAUGACUUGAGGACGGAAACCUCAUGGGCGCUUUAAUGAUCAUUGAAGAAUCUGCAACAGUCAUGCCUUGCUACUCCGAAGGAAGACGUCGCUCAACUACUAUUUAUGUUGUGAAUGUGUGCCGGUUUAUUGGUUGGUAGAACUUUAUAAUUUCAGUAUUACUAUUAUUUUAAUAUGCUUUAUAUGUUUUCCGUAUUUUAUCGGUUUUCAGUAAAACCUGCAUUGUAUUUAAAUCAUUCUAUUGAUUACUUGAAAGUUAGUUGUUAUUUUUACGGAGUACCCCUUUUAGGGAUGAUGUGCUCACCCAUUCCAAGUUUCAGAGACAGAUCAAGUUGUGCACGUGGCGAUGAAAGCUUUGAGGAGUUGGCUUCGUUAGUUGGUUAGCUUCCGCUAUGUUUAUUUGGUGUUUAUAUUCUAUUUGUAAAUCAACUCACUAUUAAAUAUGUAACACUUGAGACGAGUUCUUGUAUUUAUUUCAGAGAGGGUUUAGAUUUGGGUUAA